GCUCGGAGUGGCCUAACGUGGAGGGAUCCCAUACGUGUAGCCCACGCGUGCGAGUUGGGGGGCGAUCCCCUCUCCCUUCUCUCAUUCCCCCUUUCUCAGCUCUCCUUCACUUAUAUCCGUCAACUCCCUCUCUCGUUCUCACCCUCUUCAUCUCUCCCUGCCUCUCUCGUUCUCUCCCUGUCGAGAACCGCCUCAACCACGAGGCAGCUGGUUCCACGUCGCCCCUAGCUAGCUGCGACAACGACCAGCCCUCUCGAAUCGUCUCAGGUAUCUGCGCAAACACAAUAGUAAUGUCAGCUUUCCGAGCCUUCUGGCACAGUCCUGUGGGUCCCAAAACAACUCAUUUUUGGGGACCUAUUGCAAACUGGGGUUUCGUUGCUGCUGGAUUGGUGGACACCCAAAAGCCACCUGAGCAGAUAUCUGGCAAUAUGACUGCAGCAAUGUGUGUUUAUUCAGGACUUUUCAUGAGGUUUGCAUGGAUGGUUCAGCCACGCAAUUAUCUGCUUCUAGCGUGCCACGUGUCUAAUGAAACGGUGCAACUCUAUCAGCUGUCACGCUGGGCAAAGGCUCAGGGCUGGUUUUGUGGCUUCGGAUGGAUGAGAGAAUGUGCUCCAGUUACUGUUGCAAUCUGAGGAAGAGAGUCUGACUUGGAAUUCUCAUGGUGAUUUUUCUCAAAUAUGGAACAUCUCCACCAUAUAAUCUAGUGCUAAUUUCCCCCAUUGUGGCGCUUGGUACUUGCAGAAGAAAGAGGAAAUUGAAAAGCAGUAACUUGUGGAUAUCCUCCUCAGAAGUAACGCUCACGUUGCAUUUCAAUAAACCACGCUGCGUUUCAAUAAAUCACAAGGGUCGCGCUCCAUAUCAUAUGGAUAGCAUUAUAUGUCUGUAAACCUCUCCAUUCCAGUGUGCUCUAAUUUCAUUCCUCUUUUUUUUUUUUCUUCUUUAUUUGAAAGUUGAAACAUGCGACAUCUUUGAAUCAUGUUGACUUCAUGCUUGCUUGUCAUUGGUUUAUGGAAACGCUGAUGAGGAUUUAUGAGGCUUUGAUGCAUCUUGAGUUGAA
Magnolia sinica is the source of this 1057-nucleotide RNA transcript. It is a transcript of the gene named mitochondrial pyruvate carrier 1, with no coding region annotated. Lineage: Eukaryota; Viridiplantae; Streptophyta; Magnoliopsida; Magnoliales; Magnoliaceae. The record is from RefSeq and is a predicted model, not a curated record. The transcript has 6 exons.